Hirundo rustica (Barn swallow) is the source of this 1295-nucleotide RNA transcript. It is a transcript of the gene named zinc finger protein 512B-like, with no coding region annotated. Lineage: Eukaryota; Metazoa; Chordata; Aves; Passeriformes; Hirundinidae. The transcript is spliced from 2 exons. The record is from RefSeq and is a predicted model, not a curated record.
CUCUGUGGGGAGCAGCUCCUCUGGGAUGGCCCUGGCAGAGCAGAGGAACCUUCAGCAUGUGGGACUGUGGCUUCUCCUGCCCUGAUUCCUGAUGCCCACUGUCCCCUCCCCAGGGUGCCCAGCGCCUGUCACUCUGCUCCUGUCUGUGGCUUUUUGCUGUGAAAGCCACGCCUGGUUCCCAGCCCUGCAGUUUGGCUCCGAGCAUCUCCCUUCCCUUCUCCUGUUGGCUGCAUUCCAGUGGUUGUGGCUUGAGGCGUCCCGGAGAGGACGGGGAGCAGCCACAGGGGCAAACGCUCCCCUCUGGAGCAGAAGAGGCUUCGUGGGGGUGGCAGGCACCCCGGGGUGGCUGUGACAGCUGGAGGUGUGGGAGGUGGCAGCUGACCCAUCAGGGACACCUUUACCUGCAGUGAUGAGAAGUUCUUGGGAAGUGGCAGCACAAGAGGCUGCAGGACCCUCACUGACCUGCCUGUGACCAUUGCUGUGACCAUCGCUGUGACCCUGCCUGUGACCCUGCCUGUGACCAUCGCUGUGACCCCGCCUGUGACCAUCGCUGUGACCCCGCCUGUGACCAUUGCUGUGACAAUUGCUGUGACCCCGCCUGUGACCAUUGCUGUGACCACUGCUGUGACCCUCCCUGUGGCCAUUGCUGUGACAAUCGCUGUGACCAUUGCUGUGACCAUUGCCGUGACUGUGCCUGUGACCCUCCCUGUGACCAUUGCUGUGACCCUUCCUGUGACCCUCCCAGCCCCGGGAGCUGAGACUGGCUGAGCACAGCCGUGGCAGCAGCAAGGGCUCAGCUGAGCUCCCCCAGCCGCAUCCCUCGGGGCUGUCCCCGUGUCCCUGCACUGACGGAGGGACAAAGGGGGUGCUGCUGUCCCCGUGUCCCUGCACUGACGGAGGGACAAAGGGGGUGCUGCUGUCCCCGUGUCCCUGCACUGACAGAGGGACAAAGGGGGUGCUGCUGUCCCCGUGUCCCUGCACUGACAGAGGGACAAAGGGCGUGCUGCUGUCCCCGUGUCCUCCCUGUGCCCAGGGCAGCAGCACUGGGCUGGAUCCCGGAUCCAGGGCUGGAUCCACACCACUGCCAUCCCCAGCAGGACGGGGCUGUUCCAGGGAGCUGCGAGGGAGAUCGGUUUGGGCUGGUUACAAGGAAUGAAUGAUGAUUUUCCUCCUUGUAUCCUUGAUGCCGUUCGUGUGGCACAGCUGGUGCGGGUCGGGGGGAGGCUGCAGUGGCUGGGGCACGGUGCUGGGGACACUGCCACGGCCUGUCCCUGGCUGUGGCACACCCGUGCCUC